RNAcentral lists this unclassified non-coding RNA (520 nucleotides) under uncultured Entrophospora. Its description in RNAcentral is "SSU rRNA". It matches the Rfam family "Eukaryotic small subunit ribosomal RNA", at positions 569 to 1082 of the family's 1831-position model. Lineage: Eukaryota; Fungi; Glomeromycota; Glomeromycetes; Entrophosporales; Entrophosporaceae. The record is from RNAcentral.
AGCAGCCGCGGUAAUUCCAGCUCCAAUAGCGUAUAUUAAAGUUGUUGCAGUUAAAAAGCUCGUAGUUGAAUUUCGGGAUUGACGUGAUGGUCGUGCCUUACGGGGUAUGAACUGUUGCUGUUGAUUUCUCACCUUCUGGAGAAACUUGAUGUCCUUAAUUGGGUGUCUUGCGGAUCCAGGACCUUUACCUUGAAAAAAUUAGAGUGUUUAAAGCAGGCAUUUUUGCUCGAAUACAUUAGCAUGGAAUAAUAGAAUAGGACGGCAUGGUUCUAUUUUGUUGGUUUCUAGGAUCACCGUAAUGAUUAAUAGGGAUAGUUGGGGGGCAUUAGUAUUCAAUUGUCAGAGGUGAAAUUCUUGGAUUUAUUGAAGACUAACUACUGCGAAAGCAUUUGCCAAGGAUGUUUUCAUUAAUCAAGAACGAAAGUUAGGGGAUCGAAGACGAUCAGAUACCGUCGUAGUCUUAACCAUAAACUAUGCCGACUAGGAAUCAGACGAUGUUAAUUUUUUAAUGACUCGUUUG